RNAcentral lists this ribosomal RNA (259 nucleotides) under uncultured bacterium. RNAcentral's name for it is "partial 16S ribosomal RNA". It matches the Rfam family "Bacterial small subunit ribosomal RNA", at positions 29 to 273 of the family's 1533-position model. The record is from RNAcentral.
AGCGAACGCUGGCGGCGGACUUAACACAUGCAAGUCGAACGGGGAUCGUUGCGUGAGUAAUCACGCUAUGGUCCUAGUGGCGCACGGGUGAGUAACACGUGGGUAACCUGCCCUGGGAGACCGGGAUACCCUCUCGAAAAGGGAGGCUAAUACCGGAUACGUUCCCUGGACCGAAAGAUCUGGGAGAAAGGUGCGCAAGCUGCCGCUCUUGGAGGGCUCGCGGCCUAUCAGCAGUUGGUGAGGUGAUGGCUCACCAAGG